CUAACACAUGCAAGUCGAGGGUAGAGGUUGCUUGCAACCUUGAGACCGGCGCACGGGUGCGUAACGCGUAUGCAAUCUACCUAUACUGAGGGAUAGCCCAGAGAAAUUGGAUUAAUACCUCAUAGUAUAAUUGAAUGGCAUCAUUUGAUUAUUAAAGUUACAACGGUAUAAAGAUGAGCAUGCGUCCCAUUAGUUAGUUGGUAAGGUAACGGCUUACCAAGACAAUGAUGGGUAGGGGUCCUGAGAGGGAGAUCCCCCACACUGGUACUGAGACACGGACCAGACUCCUACGGGAGGCAGCAGUGAGGAAUAUUGGUCAAUGGGCGCAAGCCUGAACCAGCCAUGCCGCGUGCAGGAUGAAGCAUCUAUGGUGUGUAAACUGCUUUUAUACAGGAAGAAACACUCCCUCGUGAGGGAGCUUGACGGUACUGUAGGAAUAAGGACCGGCUAACUCCGUGCCAGCAGCCGCGGUAAU
This 475-nucleotide ribosomal RNA is filed under the name uncultured bacterium. RNAcentral's name for it is "bacterial SSU rRNA". It matches the Rfam family "Bacterial small subunit ribosomal RNA", at positions 48 to 524 of the family's 1533-position model. The record is from RNAcentral.